Molecule: ribosomal RNA, 564 nt
Filed under: uncultured bacterium
Lineage: Bacteria
Description: partial 16S ribosomal RNA
Rfam family: Bacterial small subunit ribosomal RNA
Source: RNAcentral
UGGGGAAUUUUGGACAAUGGGCGCAAGCCUGAUCCAGCCAUGCCGCGUGCGGGAAGAAGGCCUUCGGGUUGUAAACCGCUUUUGUCAGGGAAGAAAUCUUCUGAGUUAAUACCUCGGGAGGAUGACGGUACCUGAAGAAUAAGCACCGGCUAACUACGUGCCAGCAGCCGCGGUAAUACGUAGGGUGCAAGCGUUAAUCGGAAUUACUGGGCGUAAAGCGUGCGCAGGCGGUUUUGUAAGACAGAGGUGAAAUCCCCGGGCUCAACCUGGGAACUGCCUUUGUGACUGCAAGGCUUGAGUGCGGCAGAGGGGGGAUGGAAUUCCGCGUGUAGCAGUGAAAUGCGUAGAUAUGCGGAGGAACACCGAUGGCGAAGGCAAUCCCCUGGGCCUGCACUGACGCUCAUGCACGAAAGCGUGGGGAGCAAACAGGAUUAGAUAGCCCUGGUAGUCCACGCCCUAAAACGAUGUCAACUGGUUGUUGGGAAGGUUCCUUCUCAGUAACGUAGCUAACGCGUGAAGUUGACCGCCUGGGGAGUACGGCCGCAAGGUUGAAACUUAAAUGAA